UGGGGAAUAUUGCACAAUGGGCGCAAGCCUGAUGCAGCCAUGCCGCGUGUGUGAAGAAGGCCUUCGGGUUGUAAAGCACUUUCAGCGAGGAGGAAGGUGGUGAGCUUAAUGCGCUCAUCAAUUGACGUUACUCGCAGAAGAAGCACCGGCUAACUCCGUGCCAGCAGCCGCGGUAAUACGGAGGGUGCAAGCGUUAAUCGGAAUUACUGGGCGUAAAGCGCACGCAGGCGGUUUGUUAAGUCAGAUGUGAAAUCCCCGGGCUCAACCUGGGAACUGCAUUUGAAACUGGCAAGCUAGAGUCUCGUAGAGGGGGGUAGAAUUCCAGGUGUAGCGGUGAAAUGCGUAGAGAUCUGGAGGAAUACCGGUGGCGAAGGCGGCCCCCUGGACGAAGACUGACGCUCAGGUGCGAAAGCGUGGGGAGCAAACAGGAUUAGAUACCCCUGGUAGUCCAGCGCUGUAAAACGAUGUCGAUUUUGGAGGUUGUGCCCUUGAGGCGUGGCUUCCGGAGCUAACGCGUUAAAUCGACCGCCUGGGGAGUACGGCCGCAAGGUUAAAACUCAAAUGAAUUG
This 569-nucleotide ribosomal RNA is filed under the name uncultured bacterium. Its description in RNAcentral is "partial 16S ribosomal RNA". It matches the Rfam family "Bacterial small subunit ribosomal RNA", at positions 355 to 912 of the family's 1533-position model. The record is from RNAcentral.